This 1323-nucleotide ribosomal RNA is filed under the name Triticum aestivum (bread wheat). RNAcentral describes it as "partial small subunit ribosomal RNA". Lineage: Eukaryota; Viridiplantae; Streptophyta; Magnoliopsida; Poales; Poaceae. The record is from RNAcentral.
AUGACGGCGCAUGACUGCGGCAGCUGUCUCCGCGGCGCGCUGUCACGCCUCUCCGACGAGUUCAACUCCACUGCCGGGAUGCAGGUCCUUCGCCCCAGCUGCAUGCUGCGGUACGCGGGCUCUCCCUUCUUCAACGCGUCCCUCCUGCCCGUGGCCCAUGUCACCGUCCCAGAGGGCGACGGCGCCGCGGCUCCGGAAGGAAGCAUUUCCCUUCCACAGAACAAAGAUCGAGGCAAGGUGAUUGCACUUUCUUGUUCUGCAGGCGGAGCUGCUAUACUCGCACUAAUCCUAGUAGCAUUGUGGUGCAGACGGAGAGGCCGGAAAUCAAAGAUUGCCACGGGGGGUGGUAAGUACAGCUACCAAACUCUGGUGAAUGCCACUGCUAAUUUCUCCGAGGAAAAUCGGUUAGGAUCUGGUGGAUGCGGCGUAGUAUACAAGGGAAUACUGGAGAACAAGAAAGAAAUAGCCAUAAAAAAACUUGCAAGAAAAAAUCUGGAAGAACUGAAAAGGGAGGUUUCUCUGGUUGCCGAGCUUCAGCACGAGAACCUUGUCAAGUUCUUGGGCCAUUGCUUUCAGGACGAUAAGAUGUUUCUUGUAUAUGAAUACCUUAGCAAUAAAAGCCUAAGCAACUAUUUCAAAGGUUCAGCCGAGUACCAAAAACUGGACUGGGCAAAAUGGCUCAACAUCAUCAAAGGGGUUGCACGUGGCCUUACUUAUCUUCACCUUGAUUCUGGGAAGGAUAUUGUUCAUAGGGAUCUCAAGCCAUCUAACGUCCUCCUUGAUUCCAACUUUGCUGCGAAAAUUGCCGACUUCGAUCUUGCAAGAGGGUACAACAGGGAGAGGAGUCAUGAAAGCACUCGUAACAUGGCCGGUACUUAUGGAUACAUAGCUCCAGAGUGCUAUGCGGAAGGGAAAUUCUCCACCAAAUCGGACGUGUAUAGCUUCGGGGUGCUGGUGCUGGAGAUCUUAGUUGGGCAGAGCAUUAAUAGGUUCGAGAACGACAACUGCACCGGUCUCGUGGAACAUGUGUGGCAGCAUUGGAGCGACCUUAGAGUUGGAGACGUGCUGGAGAGGGACCAUCUUGGCCUUGGGAACCAUGAGCAGAUGCAGCAAGCAUCACGGUGCGUGCAGGUCGCGCUCCUCUGCGUUCAGAACGACCGGUCCAGGAGGCCGGCCAUGGACGAGGUCACCUAUUUCCUUAGCAAUGAGAUGCUUGUGCCGGAUCCUUCUGCCCCCGGGUACAUCACGGCGCCGCCCGGCAGCGGGCCGCCUGUGUGUUCGGUGAACGAUGUGACGAUCAGCAUGACGGAGCCCCGAUCCUGA